GCUGAAAGUCACCUCCAGACCCUCACUGCUCCCCAAGAACACCCAUGUCAGCGUGUGGCUGCAAGGAAAACGAAGGACUCUGGUGUGUGUCACCUCCACCUCCGCAAUUCCCGUACGGCUGAUGAGCGGCUGGAUGGCUCCGUGCCUUCAUCACUGAACUACUGAAGCCAAUAAUGAACAUAAAUACUUACAUAACAUAAAAAACCACAACUUGCAGGAUUUUAAAGCAACCACAGACAUCUUGCAGCUAAGACAAUGUUAGUUUUUAAUGAAAGUAAUUCUGUUGCUAUCCCAAGAGAUGUUAGAAUGAAAGAG
This is a long non-coding RNA of Corapipo altera (White-ruffed manakin), 315 nucleotides long. RefSeq lists it as uncharacterized. The transcript has 3 exons. The record is from RefSeq and is a predicted model, not a curated record. Lineage: Eukaryota; Metazoa; Chordata; Aves; Passeriformes; Pipridae.